This 1061-nucleotide long non-coding RNA is filed under the name Homo sapiens (human). RNAcentral's name for it is "HSALNT0338718". Lineage: Eukaryota; Metazoa; Chordata; Mammalia; Primates; Hominidae. The record is from RNAcentral.
AUGCUGUCUGUGCAUGGGUCUGACCCUCUCCUGAGCAGGCCCGGGAGUCCGGCUAUCUGUUAGGCCUGGCCCCCAGCCCGGGGCUCACCUGCUGGAGGCACCUUCUGGAAGCUGAAGUUUCCUGCUGCACAUCGCUCUGCUGAGGCCCUGUGGGGAGGGCAGCGCCGGUUUUUCAGGCAGCGAUAGAAGGGCUAACAAUGGGGGGAAGUGCCUCAUUGACCUGCUUUCUUUCCUAGUUAUCACUAAGAAAACAGGCUCCGUGGAAGCUGGGGUUAUCUCAAAGGCUGCUCCAUGAGUGGGGGAUGAGGGCGUCCGCUCUCCUGGAAAUGCUCAGGUCCGGCCUCUGCCCCAGGGCAGGCGGCCUCCAGGAGCUAAGAGUAGGAAGGAGCAUAGAGACCUCUGUCCUGCAACUUCCAGAAGAAAAUUCCCCCAGCAAUUGGGAGCUGAAAAGUGGCCCUCAGCCCAUAGAAGUCUCACAGCCCUGGCCGGUGCCAUGAAUUCAGCCUGCUAAGACCCGAAAGUGAAGUUGCAACAUGCCCAGGCCACUGACCUGUGGAAACUGAGCUGAGGGUUGGUGCUACUCUCAGCGCCUGUGCUCAUGGAAAUUUGUUAUUCAGCAACAGGAAAUUAGUGCAAAUAGAAAAGGCUGCCUCAAACAUGGUCAUGGACACUGCCAUGUUCCAGCCCCAGGAAUAAGACACAAAUGGUUCUCGUGAGCGCUCGGCCGUCCAUCAAAGCAAGCCUUGAUUCCACACAGGAGAGAAAUCUGAUGACUCAGGCCCUGGGGCCUUUUGGGUUCAGGAUAAUCGUGAGUUUGUUAUACUGAAUUUCUUAACAGGAAUUUAAUGAACAAGUUCCCUGUUUUGAAUUCCAGUUCCAUUUAUUAGUCAGGGUGAAGGGAGGCUGCUGUAACAAGGAGCCCCACUACACCGUUGCUUAAAAUACAGGCCUGCGCCCACCUCCUCCUGCAGGGGCACCAGGCAGGCGGCCCUCCCCGUCCCCCGUGGCAACUGUCUCCAGGCCGCGCUUGGCAAUAGCGGGAAAUAAAAUGACGAAGGUUA